GCCGGGUUGGCGCAGCGGUAGCGCAGCUCACUUGUAAUGAGCAGGUCGUCGGUUCGAUCCCGACACCCGGCU
RNAcentral lists this transfer RNA (72 nucleotides) under Frankiaceae bacterium. It matches the Rfam family "tRNA". Rfam says of the family: Transfer RNA (tRNA) molecules are approximately 80 nucleotides in length. Their secondary structure includes four short double-helical elements and three loops (D, anti-codon, and T loops). Lineage: Bacteria; Bacillati; Actinomycetota; Actinomycetes; Frankiales; Frankiaceae. The record is from Rfam by way of RNAcentral.